GGCUACGGCAGGUCAGUAUGCCCCGAAACUCUGGGGCCACACGCGGGCUGCAAUGGUAGUGACAAUGAGNUCCAAACUCGAAAGAGAGUGGCAAUCUCUAAACGCUACCACAGUUAUGACUGAGGGCUGUAACUCGCCCUCACGAAUAUGGAAUCCCUAGUAACCGCGUGUCGUUACCGCGCGGUGAAUACGUCCCUGCUCCUU
Molecule: ribosomal RNA, 204 nt
Filed under: uncultured marine archaeon
Lineage: Archaea
Description: partial 16S ribosomal RNA
Rfam family: Archaeal small subunit ribosomal RNA
Source: RNAcentral